Molecule: ribosomal RNA, 220 nt
Filed under: uncultured bacterium
Lineage: Bacteria
Description: partial 16S ribosomal RNA
Rfam family: Bacterial small subunit ribosomal RNA
Source: RNAcentral
UAACGCGUAGGUAUCUGUCUCCGGGUGGGGGAUAACCAUGGGAAACUAUGGCUAAUACCGCAUGAUGCCCGAGGGCCAAAGGCGCCGGGGAAACCUGGCAUCGCCUGGAGAGGAGCCUGCGUACGAUUAGCUUGUUGGCGGGGUAAUGGCCCACCAAGGCGACGAUCGUUAGCUGGUCUGAGAGGAUGAUCAGCCACACUGGGACUGAGACACGGCCCAG